Molecule: ribosomal RNA, 486 nt
Filed under: Pseudogmothela yonlii
Lineage: Eukaryota; Metazoa; Arthropoda; Insecta; Orthoptera; Acrididae
Description: partial 16S ribosomal RNA
Rfam family: Archaeal large subunit ribosomal RNA
Source: RNAcentral
GAGUCUGGCCUGCUCACUGAUUUAUUUAAAGAGCCGCGGUAUUUUGACCGUGCAAAGGUAGCAUAAUCAUUAGUUUCUUAAUUAGAGGCUUGUAUGAAUGGUUUAACGAGAAAUCAACUGUCUCUUGAUAAUUAUUAGAAUUUACCUUUUGAGUUAAAAGGCUUAAAUUUUUCUUUAGGACGAGAAGACCCUAUAGAGCUUAACAUUUUAUUUUUAUAUAUUUUUUAUGAUUCUUUAUUUGUAUUUAACUUUAAUGUUUAGUUGGGGUGACUUGAAGAAUUAAUAAACUCUUCAUUAUAAAAUCAUUAAUUUAUGUUUAUUAAGAUCCAUAAUUUAUGAUCAUAAGAUUUAGUUACCUUAGGGAUAACAGCGUAAUUGUUUUUUAGAGUUCAUAUCAACAAAGCAGAUUGCGACCUCGAUGUUGGAUUAAGAAUAUUUCUAGGUGUAGUGGCUUGGUAAUUAGGUCUGUUCGACCUUUAAAUUCUU